GAUCUGGUUCAGGAUUAACGCUGGCGGCAUGCCUAAUACAUGCAAGUCGAACGAGAGCAGCAAUGCUCUAGUGGCGAACGGGUGAGUAACACGUGGGUAACUUGUCCUUAAGUCGAGGAUAACAGUUGGAAACGACUGCUAAUACUGGAUAGGUUAAAUCAACGCAUGUUGAUUUAAUUAAAGAUGCGUUUGCAUCACUUUUGGAGAGGCCUGCGUCGCAUUAGCUAGUUGGUGGGGUAACAGCCUACCAAGGCGACGAUGCGUAGCUGUGCUGAGAGGCAAAACAGCCACACUGGGACUGAGACACGGCCCAGACUCCUACGGGAGGCAGCAGUAGGGAAUUUUCGGCAAUGGACGCAAGUCUGACCGAGCAAUGCCCGCGUGAACGAUGAAGGUCUUCGGAUUGUAAAGUUCUGUUGUUAGGGAAGAAUAGUAUAACUAGGAAAUGAGUUAUAUUUGACGGUACCUUACUAGAAAGCCCCGGCUAACUACGUGCCAGCAGCCGC
RNAcentral lists this ribosomal RNA (506 nucleotides) under uncultured bacterium. RNAcentral's name for it is "bacterial SSU rRNA". It matches the Rfam family "Bacterial small subunit ribosomal RNA", at positions 15 to 518 of the family's 1533-position model. The record is from RNAcentral.